This 440-nucleotide ribosomal RNA is filed under the name uncultured bacterium. RNAcentral describes it as "partial 16S ribosomal RNA". It matches the Rfam family "Bacterial small subunit ribosomal RNA", at positions 338 to 795 of the family's 1533-position model. The record is from RNAcentral.
CCUACGGGUGGCAGCAGUGGGGAAUAUUGCACAAUGGGGGAAACCCUGAUGCAGCAACGCCGCGUGAGUGAAGAAGUAUUUCGGUAUGUAAAGCUCUAUUAGCAGGGAAGAAGAUGACGGUACCUGAGUAAGAAGCCCCGGCUAACUACGUGCCAGCAGCCGCGGUAAUACGUAGGGGGCAAGCGUUAUCCGGAUUUACUGGGUGUAAAGGGAGCUUUGAGGGUGAUACAAGAUUGAGGUGAAAGGCCGGGGCUCAACCCUGGGACUGCUUUGGAAACUGCCUGACUGGAGUGCGGGAGAGGCAAGCGGAAUGCCUAGUGUAGCGGUGAAAUGCGUAGAUAUUAGGAAGAACACCAGUGGCGAAGGCAGCUUGCUGGACAGUAACUGACGUUGAGGCUCGAAAGCGUGGGGAGCAAACAGGAUUAGAUACCCGGGUAGUC